CCCCAAAUUGUGAUAUCUAUACAUAAAUUGAAUUUAAUUACAACAUAUGUAAUUAGGUCAUAUCUUGUACACUUUGCAUGAAUAGGCCUAUUAUAUUUUAUGUGUACAGUCCAUGAAAAAUAUAACGUGCACAAGCUUGGUAUGAUCUUUGAAAAUGUUCAUAUUUGAUUGCUAUAACUACCUAAUGUGCACAAUCGGCAAAAGUACUAAAAAAGUUCUAAAAUUAUUGCAUAUGUAUCAAUUCAAUCCUAAACAUUUUCAAAUUAGUAUUAAUUCAAUUCAUCUUGGCAACUUGGCCAAAAAUCAUUAACAUGGAUGGUAACCUUAUAAGAUAUGGCUAAUGCUAACGUAGACAUUUUUAUAAUAUUUUUAAUUUUUAAUUUUUUUUCUUUUAAUUUUUUUAUUUUUCUUUCUUUUUUUUCCCUGCACUUUGGCUAGCGAGGCCCCUAAGCCCCUUGCCCAAAGCCUUUGUGGCCCUCAUCAAUGAUUGGGGAGGGCUUGCCUAUCCUCGCUCGCUGGCCAAAGUGAAGGAAAAAAUAGAAAGAGAAAAAAAAGAAGAAAAGAAAAUAAUAAAAAAAUUAUCAAAAUAAUAUUUAAAAAUGUCAACGUAAAUGCUGACUAUAUCGCAUAGGACAGCUAGUGUCCGCAUCAACAAUUUCUAAUCUAAAUUGGUUGGAUGUGCUAAAUUGAUACAAAUAUAACAAGAUUUAAGACUAUAUUAGUUUAAUUGAGGCCUCGUGCGCACAAAUUGUAAGGGCGAACCGCCACGUUCAGACUAGGAUUCUUUCCUUUAUUACACUUUCCCGCCCACAAUCUAUGCUCCGCCAUGCUUCUUUUCCGUCCAUCGAGGCCUCGUGCGCAUAAAUUGUAAGGGCGAACCGCCACGUUCAGACUAGGACAGUCCCUCAACUAGGCUGCAUUUUCUUCCUCGUUCUCUCCAGAUAUUUCCUCGAGGGAGCGGCCCUUCGAUUCCGGCACCAGUAAGGUGAAGACACACC
This 998-nucleotide long non-coding RNA is filed under the name Eucalyptus grandis. RNAcentral's name for it is "long non-coding RNA (EGRA_LNC004509)". Lineage: Eukaryota; Viridiplantae; Streptophyta; Magnoliopsida; Myrtales; Myrtaceae. The record is from RNAcentral.